Molecule: ribosomal RNA, 326 nt
Filed under: uncultured CFB-group bacterium 107ev
Lineage: Bacteria; Pseudomonadati; Bacteroidota
Description: bacterial SSU rRNA
Rfam family: Bacterial small subunit ribosomal RNA
Source: RNAcentral
GAGUUUGAUCCUGGCUCAGGAUGAACGCUAGCGACAGGCCUAACACAUGCAAGUCGAGGGGCAGCAUAAAGGUAGCAAUACUUUGGUGGCGACCGACGCACGGGUGAGUAACACGUAUGCAACCUACCUGUAAGCGGGGAAUAACCCGGAGAAAUCCGGACUAAUACCGCAUAAUACUAAUUUUCUGCAUGGGAGAUUAGUUAAACAUUUAUGGCUUACAGAUGGGCAUGCGUAUGAUUAGUUAGUUGGUGAGGUAACGGCUCACCAAGACAUCGAUCAUUAGGGGUUCUGAGAGGAAGGUCCCCCACACUGGUACUGAGACACGG